This 211-nucleotide long non-coding RNA is filed under the name Elaeis guineensis (African oil palm). RNAcentral's name for it is "long non-coding RNA (EGUI_LNC011166)". The record is from RNAcentral. Lineage: Eukaryota; Viridiplantae; Streptophyta; Magnoliopsida; Arecales; Arecaceae.
GUUAUACAUUUCUAUGAGCAGAACGAUCAGGAUUCCAUUAACUCAUGUUGAAAUAUAUUGUGAUAAUAGUCGAGAAACCCUCCACAGCACUCAAACCGAUUCCCUUCCGCCAGCAUCAAAGGCUUUAAAUUAGUUAGAGAGUGUGGAUUUGAUAAUUGCCAGUAGCGAACCUCCUGUGGCAUUUGCCAGUUUUAUGAUAGACAACAUCAGG